Homo sapiens (human) is the source of this 1651-nucleotide long non-coding RNA. Ensembl annotates it as C21orf62 antisense RNA 1. Its record names the gene C21orf62-AS1. Lineage: Eukaryota; Metazoa; Chordata; Mammalia; Primates; Hominidae. The record is from Ensembl.
GCACUUACGCGGAGCGGUAAUGUGAGGAAGCCUCCCGCCAAACAGAUGAGGGAGGAGGAGGAGGGGAGAGGCCAGAGAGAGAAGCGGCUUUCGGGAAGGAAAGUGUGAUCUAGUAGGUGGAAUAGUCCUCUCCAAACUUUGACCUGAGAAUGACCCUCUAUUUGGAUUUGGAUUACACAAAGUUUAACGUUUUUUGGAAAAAUCCUACCUAGGUAAUGUGUAGUUCUCAAUGCAUCAUGUCAGGCAGCUUAUGAUGCCAAUUUGUCCCAUGGAAAGAAAAAUGUACUGUAUUUCACUGUGCUGAAUGCAACUGCCAAUCAAGAUAGUCUGCAGCCUACCUGUGGACCUUAAUGAUUUCACAUGUUCUGCGGAAGAAUUUCUCCCCCACCUCCAAUGACUAUGGCAUUCCUUGGGAAAGUUAGCUUGGUAUUUACUUUUCCCCAGCAGGUCCCAAGCUGACCAAAAAAAUAAAUAAAAAUAAAAAAUAAAAUCAACAACAACAACAACAACAACAAAAACACAAAACAACAAUCAGUUAGCCAGGCUGUUUCAAUGGCCCAAUAAGUUCCAUGAUAGCAAGAAUUCUAUGAAUAAUAAUGGGACAUGGAAUCCCAUGCAGCCUCGCGGAGAGCUCAGCCAAAUCACCCGGAAAUUCUGCUUCAUCACAGCCCUUUCUCUUGCCAUAAAACUGCUUGGGCUCUGUCUUUGCUUCCACAUCAUUUAAGCCUUUCUGCCGACCCUCCAGCAAUUCCAUCCCUGGGGCCUCCGCCCGUCACUAUGCUGGGGCUCCCCAGGGCUUCUCAAGAGGCUCCGUCAGCUCCAUCCUAGAGGCCUCUUCACAGCACCAGAUGAAGUCCACACCUCCUUUUGUAGGACGUUCAAGCAACACAGGCCAGAGUAAGGAUCAAAGUAAAAGUCAUCCUAAAUUCACCACUGAGAGAUACCACUGCCGGUAAACAGGAGACUGCUUUUUCGGAUGUCUACGCAUUUAUACAUCUUGCCCAGUAACAAUGCUCAUAAACGAGCUCUCGAGGCAGUUUUGUUAGGCUCCAAAAAAGGCUUUCACGAGGUCAAUGCCGGUGGCAUAAGUACCUGCUGGGCUUCCCAGGACAGCAGCUGACAGCACAGGCUUGGCAGACACCCCUGAGAGAGUCUUCGGCACAUAUGAUGUCCUCUAUUGAUGUUUGCUGAAUAGAUGAGGAUGCCAAAAGAGGGAGGAGAUACCAAAAGAGGGAAAGAAGGACACCCAGAAGACAAAUGGUGCUCACCUUGAGGAAAAAAAGAAAAAGGGAACACAUAGAAGCCAACUCCAGCCUUUAAACACGUAGGAGAUCCUCAGCUAUUUGUAUGUGUAAAAUGAAGGAAGACCAAUGCCUGCUUUCCCUCCCUCUCAAUCCAGUCAAGAAACUAUGUAGUCAAGACUUACAUAGUUCCAGGAACAGGAAACUCACUCUACAGCCUUGUGAAGAAACUGAUUCCAUCUUUGGACACUUCUUUAUAAUAAACCCCAAAUCUCUCUCCUUAGAACUCAUACCUAGUGACUCCAUUUGCUUCUCUUGAGGUCAUCAAUAUCAAAUCUGCCUUCCUCAUGACAGCCUUUCAAAUAUUAACAGACACUGUCAUAUGUUUCAAAUAUUAAAAAAUACUGUCA